GCCAACUGAGUUUAGUACUUCCUCCUUACCAAAUAUAAGAUGUUUUUGCAGUUCAAAUUGAACUACAAAAACAUCUUAUAUUUUGAUACAUAGGAAGUAGCUUCCAUAGAAAAUGCAUACAUGAUGUCCAAGGAUGCUACUUGGCAUUUCCGUCUAGAGGCUCACAUGUUUCUUGAUAUCUUCUCAUGUUCGACAUCUGCUUAGCACCUCCGUUUAGAGGCACCGCGCGAUUGUUAUUUGGUCAAUAGUCAUUUUAUGACUGGCAUGAUCGUAUUGGACCAGGGAUUGUUUACUGUACAAUAAUAAUUGUACAUAGCUUCUGUCAAAUAAUCGACCAUUCAGUUUGAUGCUGAUGAAUCUGAAUCACAACUUCUGUUGAAUUCUGGUGGUUAGAGAUACAGCAAGAAUUUCGAUUUGGCAGGUCCCUCACGGAGACACUGGAGGAGAUGGUGUGCUCAACCUGAGUUCGCCUUCAGCAUCCUCCUACAGUUUGACAAGUCCAUGAGUUCCACGCCUACAGCCCCAGGUCAAGAGCAAUGCCUUCUUCAAGGUGCCAACCAAAAUGACACCUCUCCACACAUUUACCACUGUAUUGUACAGGUACCAAUGGAAUAAUGCUAAAAUACCUCGAUGUUGCUACAUGUUUGUUAGUGUAAUUGUACUGAGCAGAUCAGCUACUAAUCUUCCUUGUCUUCUGUUUGAUGCCAUGACGACUUGUAUGCUUAAUUAUUAAGUAAAUUAUUCUGUGGCGCAUGUUAUUUUGCAAGUCGCCAUAGGCAAUUGUUCUUUUGGGACAUGCACAGGGUCGUUUUCAUUUCUCAUUAAAGAGAAUUGAUUUGGAUAUGAUCAUUUUUCAUGCUAAUUUCAUUUCUCAUUAAAUUAUAUAGAGCUUCUACUAGGGAUGAUACCAAUAUAAAUAUGUUUUACCAUGUUUAGUUUUAUUAGACUUGAUGGCGUAUAUAGUUGGGCGCAUUGUGUUUGAUUAAAAUACUCAAUGGCAUUAGUCGCUUCUUUUCCACUUAUGUUGAGCUAUCCCUUGAGAAGAAUAAAAGCAAGAGAAAUAUCGCACUUCAUGAAUGAUGCUUUCCUAUGAAUCUCACACAUAAUUUUAGAUAAUUCCGAUAUUUUACGAUAGGGGUAAUAUUGUCUUCCCAUUAUUUUGGAACUUAUCUACUCUCCCUAUCAGAAUUGAAAUGAGCUCACCUAAGUGGUCUUCAAGUAUGAAGACAAUCUUGUAUGCUUUUUUAGUUUGGUCGUGCAUGAGCAGUACUAAUUACUAUUUGCAUAUUUGUGUAUACAAGAAUGAAGAAUCAGUACAUGUAUGUCCUGAUAUUCAGUCUGCAUGGUAAUUGGCCUUGUCAAUAAGCUGGUUACACAAAUCUAUGUUAAUAAUUGAAUGGUUUGCUUAUUUUUUUGAGUUAGUCCACUUUCUGAAAUCCUCCUCUAGAUAUUUAUUUUUGUUCUUUUGACUAGAGAUCAGAAGGAAGACCUAUUCUGCAUUCACCAGAGGAGGGGGCUAACUGAUCUCUUACAUGCUUUUUUUUAAUUCAAAAACUUGUGAGCAUCAACCCAUGUUUUUUUAACUUGAGAGAAUACAAAAAUAUGGUAGACCAAGAUUAAAAACUAAUAUUAGCUUAUUGCAAUUUGGAGUUGAUGGGAAUUCCAUAUCAUUAAGUGCUUGUAAAUGCUAUGAAAUAUAGAUGGAAAGCAUAAUUGAGAACGUUAUAGUUUGCUUUCCAGUAUUAGAAGAAACUAAGUGCCUAAAUUCAUAGUUGUAGCCUGAAAUGUUAUAGAAUAUCUGUAGUUAUUGGUAAAUGUAGUAAAUCAAACUGAUCUUUUUCCUUUUUUUUCAACUUUCCUCUUAAUGGCCUUGUGAAAUUUGUGGGGUAGUGAUUUCUAAACACUUGUGAUAUUAUCUUCCUUUUUGCACGCAUUAAUUGUUCUUUGGUAGUUGUCUUUGUUACUCAUGUUUAAAAUUUCUUAAAUGCAUUGUCUGAAAUGUCAUAUUGAGUAGUUUGACAGAACAAACCGACAAAACGUACUAUGUUCCACAGCUAAUUUAUAAAUGUUAUUUGAUGUACAUGUCAUUCUUAGCUCUCCAUGGUUUGCUUUGUUGUCCUGUUUCCAUAGGUGGAUUUACAUAGAGCCAUAUAACCAUUCCAUUCUUCUACUAUUCAUGCUAGCAGCGAGAGUUGUUCUAGCAACACAACUACUAACCUUUAUUUGUUGCAAGCACGGAAUAGUCUUCUCCCAAUAAUGUUUUACAUGCAUCGGUGAUGUCUAAUUCAAAUUGUAUGUUUGUAGAGAACCAAAGUGCCCUGACCUACGCUAUAAAGAGAGCAUGUGAAAACAAAGCUAACAAAGCUGAAGUUGUUGCUCAGGAUGAGAAGGAAAGUGAUCUUUGAGCAACACUAGACCUGGACCUAGAACCACUGGCUCACUUAGAACACGAGUUAGUCGAUUGUUGUGAUAAGAGUAAGGGUUGAGAGUGAGUGGGGAGAAGGUUAGAGUUUGUCUGUUCAGUUAUAGUUCUGAGCAGAAUAAUUUUUCUAUUUUAGAAAAUGUGGCAAAUUGCAUUUCAUCAGAGAUGGCUUUGCUGUAAA
Molecule: long non-coding RNA, 2603 nt
Organism: Triticum urartu
Lineage: Eukaryota; Viridiplantae; Streptophyta; Magnoliopsida; Poales; Poaceae
Source: RefSeq, a predicted model, not a curated record